CCUACGGGAGGCAGCAGUGGGGAAUAUUGGACAAUGGGGGCAACCCUGAUCCAGCCAUGCCGCGUGUGUGAAGAAGGCCCUCGGGUUGUAAAGCACUUUCAGUGAGGAAGAACGCCUGGUGGUUAAUACCCAUCAGGAAAGACAUCACUCACAGAAGAAGCACCGGCUAACUCCGUGCCAGCAGCCGCGGUAAUACGGAGGGGUGCGAGCGUUAAUCGGAAUUACUGGGCGUAAAGCGCGCGUAGGUGGCUUGAUAAGCCGGUUGUGAAAGCCCCGGGCGCAACCUGGGAACGGCAUCCGGAACGGGCAAACUAGAGUGCAGGAGAGGAAGGUAGAAUUCCCGGUGUAGCGGUGAAAUGCGUAGAGAUCGGGAGGAAUACCAGUGGCGAAGGCGGCCUUCUGGACUGACACUGACACUGAGGUGCGAAAGCGUGGGUAGCAAACAGGAUUAGAUACCCUUGUAGUC
Molecule: ribosomal RNA, 466 nt
Filed under: Vreelandella stevensii
Lineage: Bacteria; Pseudomonadati; Pseudomonadota; Gammaproteobacteria; Oceanospirillales; Halomonadaceae
Description: partial 16S ribosomal RNA
Rfam family: Bacterial small subunit ribosomal RNA
Source: RNAcentral